GGGAUUGUAGCUCAGUAGUAGAGCGCUUGCCUAUCAUGUGUGAAACACUGAGUUCAAUCCUCAGCACCA
RNAcentral lists this transfer RNA (69 nucleotides) under Ictidomys tridecemlineatus (thirteen-lined ground squirrel). Its description in RNAcentral is "Spermophilus tridecemlineatus (thirteen-lined ground squirrel) tRNA". It matches the Rfam family "tRNA". From Rfam's summary of the family: Transfer RNA (tRNA) molecules are approximately 80 nucleotides in length. Their secondary structure includes four short double-helical elements and three loops (D, anti-codon, and T loops). Further hydrogen bonds mediate the characteristic L-shaped molecular structure. tRNAs have two regions of fundamental functional importance: the anti-codon, which is responsible for specific mRNA codon recognition, and the 3' end, to which the tRNAs corresponding amino acid is attached (by aminoacyl-tRNA synthetases). tRNAs cope with the degeneracy of the genetic code in two manners: having more than one tRNA (with a specific anti-codon) for a particular amino acid; and 'wobble' base-pairing, i.e. permitting non-standard base-pairing at the 3rd anti-codon position. The record is from Rfam by way of RNAcentral. Lineage: Eukaryota; Metazoa; Chordata; Mammalia; Rodentia; Sciuridae.